Molecule: non-coding RNA, 73 nt
Organism: Pangasius djambal
Lineage: Eukaryota; Metazoa; Chordata; Actinopteri; Siluriformes; Pangasiidae
Source: the annotation of a GenBank genome assembly
GGCUUGGUGGUUUGGUGGUUAGCAUGUUUGCCUCACACCUCCAGCGUUGUGGGUUUGAAUCCCACCUCCGCUC